Musa acuminata subsp. malaccensis (wild Malaysian banana) is the source of this 541-nucleotide non-coding RNA. NCBI's taxonomy places the organism in Eukaryota, Viridiplantae, Streptophyta, Magnoliopsida, Zingiberales, Musaceae. The record is from RefSeq and is a predicted model, not a curated record.
GGCUCCAGCCGCUGGCACCCUUUCAUGGUCGCAGGCAUUGUCUUCACAUCUUUAAGGGCAAAUGCCAAAAGGGAGAAAAGAUGAUGGACAACGAUGAUUUUACAAAGUCAGAGAAACAGCAUACAAGUAUGAAUCUUGUCAAUGGCACCAUAUCAAGCAUAGGUUAGCAGUUGCAGAACAGAGACACAGCGGCAGCUAAGUUGUUAAUUUACUUAAAUAUGUAAAUUAAGGGUCUUUUAACACUACAGUGAUGAAAUUUACUUGUUAGCAAACUCUCUGUUCUAUGGGUUUGUAUGAACAAUUUGUUCUGGUUCAAAGGAACAAAAACUGAGUCGUAAAGAUUAUAGUGUCAAAGAUUCAUUGGUAGUAGCAUGUGUGGAUCGUAUAAUGAUGGAUCAGAGGUAUGUGGAAAAAGUUGUGAUAUCUCAAUUCUCUAAGAUUUGCAGUAUGUUCAAUGCUUACAGGAUUGAAGAACAAAGAAAUAUCUGCUUCUUUAAGCAGUUCAUCAUGCUCAAAUCAAUGAUUCAACCACAUGAUACGA